RNAcentral lists this ribosomal RNA (253 nucleotides) under uncultured bacterium. RNAcentral's name for it is "partial 16S ribosomal RNA". It matches the Rfam family "Bacterial small subunit ribosomal RNA", at positions 524 to 776 of the family's 1533-position model. The record is from RNAcentral.
UACAGAGGGUGCAAGCGUUAAUCGGAAUUACUGGGCGUAAAGCGCUCGUAGGUGGAUCUUUAAGUCGAUUGUGAAAGCCCCGGGCUCAACCUGGGAAUUGCACUCGAAACUGUAGAUCUAGAGUAUGGUAGAGGAAAGUAGAAUUCCCGGUGUAGCGGUGAAAUGCGUAGAUAUCGGGAGGAAUACCAGUGGCGAAGGCGGCUUUCUGGACCAAUACUGACACUGAGGGGCGAAAGCGUGGGGAGCAAACAGG